Molecule: long non-coding RNA, 632 nt
Filed under: Camarhynchus parvulus
Lineage: Eukaryota; Metazoa; Chordata; Aves; Passeriformes; Thraupidae
Description: lncRNA (ENSCPVG00000014981.2)
Source: RNAcentral
UAUAUUUAUAAUUUCUCAAGCAUUUUUGCUGUGAUCUGCUUGGUGCAGGCAGAGCCUGGAGCAGAGGGACUUUCUGACUCGCUCGGAUUUUCUCAACUCUGUGGAAAACCGGGACGGUCAAGGUAAUGUUUUUCCAAAUUUUUAUUUUUAUUUUUCUUUUUUUCCUAUCAUCACGACAGGCACUGAUCUCGGCCAGGGGGAGCCCCGAGCGCCCCUCACGGGCCGCGCCCCGCCCUCAGCUCCGCGGUAACCGCGCUGUUGUGCCGAGCGGGGCCGCGGCGCCGGGAGAGAUGGACCGCUCAGAUGAAGCAACUUCCAGUAAACGGACUUUGAGAACCUUGUUUCGUCCCCCUGCUUUACCUCCACCAGUCGUAUCUGAAGAGUCACCAUCACAGAAGAAACUGCUGGCAUACUACAAAGGCAAGGAGGAGCAAAAGAUCAUUAAUCAGAUACUAAUUGAUCGAGCUCUUGAAGUCUAUUACAUUGACAUGGAUGAAAGAGAGGAGAGAGAUGCUGCACCUCCUAUCACAGAACUGCCUUCUACUGUGAGAAAGUAUUUCUUUAUUAAGUAUUUUCUAUUUAGUUCUUUGUUAUUGGGACAUUUAUUUUCCUUCUUAGAAUUUACUUCAAGA